AUGAGUAAGAUAAGUGUAUAUCGUUGCUGCUGCUGCUGCGAUUGCUAUUGCUGUGAUUGCACAGGCGUUCCCUUCAUUCUCCUUAAGUCUGCCGAAUGUUGGCAGAUCAGCGAAGACUACCGCGGUGAGGAAGAUGAGGAUUGACCACGGAGCCUCUUAGGAAUGCAACGGCGUUGGUCGCUGGCCGAAGGGUGAAGCUUCACUUUUCUCAGCGACGUUGGUCGCUGGCCGAAGGCAAGAGCGAAGCUUUGCUUUUCUCAACGACGUUGGUCGUGGUUGCGAUUACGACGGCUGCGACGGUAGAGAAGAAAUCUACAGCAAUGUUGCAGUGAUGCUACUACAACAAAGGAGGAAACUGCAACAGAGGAGAAAGUUGUAGCAGAAGAGGAAGCUGUAGUAGAAGAG
RNAcentral lists this long non-coding RNA (405 nucleotides) under Musa acuminata (dwarf banana). RNAcentral describes it as "long non-coding RNA (MACU_LNC000398)". Lineage: Eukaryota; Viridiplantae; Streptophyta; Magnoliopsida; Zingiberales; Musaceae. The record is from RNAcentral.